RNAcentral lists this ribosomal RNA (253 nucleotides) under uncultured bacterium. RNAcentral's name for it is "partial 16S ribosomal RNA". It matches the Rfam family "Bacterial small subunit ribosomal RNA", at positions 524 to 776 of the family's 1533-position model. The record is from RNAcentral.
UACGGAGGAGGCAAGCGUUAUCCGGAAUUAUUGGGCGUAAAGCGUCCGUAGGUGGUUUAGUAAGUCUGCUGUUAAAGCGCGGGGCUUAACUCCGUAUCGGCAGUGGAAACUACUAGACUAGAGUGUGGUAGGGGUAGAGGGAAUUCCCAGUGUAGCGGUGAAAUGCGUAGAUAUUGGGAAGAACACCGGUGGCGAAGGCGGCCCCCUGGACGGAGACUGACGCUGAGGCGCGAAAGCGUGGGGAGCAAACAGG